GGUGGGCACUCUAAGGUGACUGCCGGUGACAAACCGGAGGAAGGUGGGGAUGACGUCAAAUCAUCAUGCCCCUUAUGACCUGGGCUACACACGUACUACAAUGGCCGGUACAACGGGCAGUGAAACCGCGAGGUGGAACGAAUCCUAAAAAGCCGGUCUCAGUUCGGAUUGCAGGCUGCAACUCGCCUGCAUGAAGUCGGAAUUGCUAGUAAUCGCGGAUCAGC
This 224-nucleotide ribosomal RNA is filed under the name bacterium FV-33. RNAcentral's name for it is "partial 16S ribosomal RNA". It matches the Rfam family "Bacterial small subunit ribosomal RNA", at positions 1130 to 1353 of the family's 1533-position model. The record is from RNAcentral.